Molecule: ribosomal RNA, 323 nt
Filed under: uncultured Sphingobium sp.
Lineage: Bacteria; Pseudomonadati; Pseudomonadota; Alphaproteobacteria; Sphingomonadales; Sphingobiaceae
Description: bacterial SSU rRNA
Rfam family: Bacterial small subunit ribosomal RNA (bases 98-323)
Source: RNAcentral
GGGCAGAAGGAAAAGAGGCUCCUAGCUAAAGUUGUCUCGCCCUGCUUCAAAACUACAGGGCGCGCGCUACGGCUUUGACCUAACGGCCUCCGUUUGCUGGAAUCCGAAUAGUUGAGAACAAUGUGGCGAAUGGGUGCGUAACGCGUGGGAAUCUGCCGAACAGGUCGGGCCAAAUCCUAAAGAAAGCUCAAAAGCGAUGUUUGAUGAGCCUGCGUAGCAUUAGGUAGUUGGUCAGGUAAAGGCUGACCAAGCCAAUGAUGCUUAGCUGGUCUUUUCGGAUUAUCAGCCACACUGGGAUUGAGACACGGCCCGGACUCCCACGG